UUCCUACGGGGGGCAGCAGUGGGGGAUAUUGGACAAUGGGGGGAACCCUGAUCCAGCGACGCCGCGUGAGUGAAGAAGUAUUUCGGUAUGUAAACCUCUUUUGUCAGGGAGCAAAGGGCGCCACGUGUGGCGCUUUGCGAGUACCUGAAGAAAAAGCAUCGGCUAACUCCGUGCCAGCAGCCGCGGUAAUACGGAGGAUGCGAGCGUUAUCCGGAUUUAUUGGGUUUAAAGGGUGCGUAGGCGGGCUGUUAAGUCAGCGGUAAAAGCCCGGGGCUCAACCCCGGCGAGCCGUUGAAACUGGCUGG
Molecule: ribosomal RNA, 305 nt
Filed under: uncultured bacterium
Lineage: Bacteria
Description: bacterial SSU rRNA
Rfam family: Bacterial small subunit ribosomal RNA
Source: RNAcentral